UACGUAGGGUGCGAGCGUUAAUCGGAAUUACUGGGCGUAAAGCGUGCGCAGGCGGUUCGCUAAGACAGAUGUGAAAUCCCCGGGCUUAACCUGGGAACUGCGUUUGUGACUGGCGGGCUGGAGUGCGGAAGAGGGAGGUGGAAUUCCACGUGUAGCAGUGAAAUGCGUAGAGAUGUGGAGGAACACCGAUGGCGAAGGCAGCCUCCUGGUCUAGCACUGACGCUCAUGCACGAAAGCGUGGGGAGCAAACAGG
This 253-nucleotide ribosomal RNA is filed under the name uncultured bacterium. Its description in RNAcentral is "partial 16S ribosomal RNA". It matches the Rfam family "Bacterial small subunit ribosomal RNA", at positions 524 to 776 of the family's 1533-position model. The record is from RNAcentral.